RNAcentral lists this ribosomal RNA (561 nucleotides) under uncultured marine eukaryote. Its description in RNAcentral is "SSU rRNA". It matches the Rfam family "Eukaryotic small subunit ribosomal RNA", at positions 617 to 1190 of the family's 1831-position model. The record is from RNAcentral.
AGUUAAAAAGCUCGUAGUCGGAUUUCAGAUUUGUCUUUUGCAUUCCUUCAUGGUUUCUUUUGACAUUUCUUCUUUAACAGACGACUUCCUAGCAUUAAUUUGUUGGGUUGCUCAACUGUUUCUUUUACUUUGAGAAAAUUAGAGUGUUCAAAGCAGGUUUAUUGCCUGAAUAUUACUCUUGGAAUAAUAAUAUAGGACUCUGGUUCUAGUUUGUUGGUGAUCUAGUGCCGGAGUAAUGAUUAAUAGCGACGGUUGGGGUCAUUCGUACUGCAAAGCGAGAGGUGGAAUUCUUGGACCUUUGUAUGACGAACAACUGCGAAAGCAUUUGACUAGGACGUUCGCGUUGAUCAAGAACGAAAGUUGGGGGAUCGAAGACGAUCAGAUACCGUCGUAGUCUCAACCAUAAACUAUGCCAGCUAGGGAUGAGUGAACGUUAAUUACUGACUUCAUUUGCACCUUAUGAGAAAUCAAAGCAUUAGGGUUCCGGGGGGAGUAUGGUCGCAAGGCUGAAAACUUAAAGGAAUUGACGGGAGGGCACCACCAGGAGUGGAGCCUGUGGCU